Molecule: long non-coding RNA, 265 nt
Organism: Boleophthalmus pectinirostris (great blue-spotted mudskipper)
Lineage: Eukaryota; Metazoa; Chordata; Actinopteri; Gobiiformes; Gobiidae
Exons: 3
Source: RefSeq, a predicted model, not a curated record
UUGGGACUGAAGUCUCUGGUCUGAUGAUUUAAGUUAUGUAAUUAUUUGUAGAAGAGUCGUCUACAAACAAAGAGUGAUAUUUAGGGCACAGCUGUAGCUGUGGGGAAGUUCAUGAAUGUGAUAGUUGAUGUUUCAGAAAAAAGGAAGAUGUUUGAGAACCAACAAACCACAGACCACAGAUGAACAAAGGUGAUGUGGCACUAGGAGGAUUUUAUACCAGAUGCCCUACAUAUUACUGCAUUUAGAGGAAGAAAAGCAGCACAUG